UGGGAAUUUUGGACAAUGGGCGCAAGCCUGAUCCAGCCAUGCCGCGUGCGGGAAGAAGGCCUUCGGGUUGUAAACCGCUUUUGUCAGGGAAGAAAUCUUCUGAGUUAAUACCUCGGGAGGAUGACGGUACCUGAAGAAUAAGCACCGGCUAACUACGUGCCAGCAGCCGCGGUAAUACGUAGGGUGCAAGCGUUAAUCGGAAUUACUGGGCGUAAAGCGUGCGCAGGCGGUUUUGUAAGACAGAGGUGAAAUCCCCGGGCUCAACCUGGGAACUGCCUUUGUGACUGCAAGGCUUGAGUGCGGCAGAGGGGGAUGGAAUUCCGCGUGUAGCAGUGAAAUGCGUAGAUAUGCGGAGGAACACCGAUGGCGAAGGCAAUCCCCUGGGCCUGCACUGACGCUCAUGCACGAAAGCGUGGGGAGCAAACAGGAUUAGAUA
Molecule: ribosomal RNA, 436 nt
Filed under: uncultured bacterium
Lineage: Bacteria
Description: partial 16S ribosomal RNA
Rfam family: Bacterial small subunit ribosomal RNA
Source: RNAcentral